GGGAAUGUGGCAUGGUGGUUUGCGUGUUGGAUUGAGACUCUGGAGACCAGGGUUCGAUUCCCAACUUGGCCA
This is a non-coding RNA of Phrynosoma platyrhinos (Desert horned lizard), 72 nucleotides long. The record is from the annotation of a GenBank genome assembly. Lineage: Eukaryota; Metazoa; Chordata; Lepidosauria; Squamata; Phrynosomatidae.